Molecule: ribosomal RNA, 783 nt
Filed under: uncultured bacterium
Lineage: Bacteria
Description: bacterial SSU rRNA
Rfam family: Bacterial small subunit ribosomal RNA
Source: RNAcentral
ACAUGCAAGUCGAGCGCGAAAGCCCCUUCGGGGGUGAGUAGAGCGGCGCAAGGGCGAGGAAUACGUUCCUACGUACCCCGAGGUCAGGGAUAGCCCAGGGAAACCUGGAUUAAUACCUGAUGUGGUCCUUCGGGAUCAAAGGCUUGCUGCCUCGGGAGCGGGGAACGUCCUAUCAGGUUGUUGGUGGGGUAACGGCUCACCAAGCCGAAGACGGGUAGCGGGUGUGAGAGCAUGACCCGCCGCAUCGGGACUGAGACACUGCCCGGACUCCUACGGGAGGCUGCAGUAACGAAUCUUCCGCAAUGCGCGAAAGCGUGACGGAGCAAUGCCGCGUGCAGGAUGAAGCCCCUCGGGGUGUAAACUGCUGUCAGGGUUUAGGAACACAAUGACCAGACCCAAAGGAAGGGCCGGCUAACUUCGUGCCAGCAGCCGCGGUAAUACGAAGGGCCCGAGCGUUACUCGGAAUCAUUGGGCUUAAAGCGUACGUAGGCGGGCGCGCAGGCACCUUGUGAAAUCCCUCGGCUCAACCGAGGAAUUGCUUGGUGAACCGCGUGCCUUGAGGCAAGUAGGGGCUGUCGGAACGAUAGGUGGAGCGGUGAAAUGCGUUGAUAUCUAUCGGAACGCCGAAGGAGAAAUCAGGCAGCUGGGCUUGUUCUGACGCUGAGGUACGAAAGCGUGGGGAGCGAACGGGAUUAGAUACCCCGGUAGUCCACGCCGUAAACGAUGUGCACUAGAUCGAAGGGACUCUGACGUCGCUCUCGGUCGAAGCAAAAGUGUUAAGUG